GUCUGAUUGCUCUCCUUGGUGGUUCAUCGUGUCGUUCCUCCUCUUUGUGGUUCUUCUUGUGUUUUUGUUUCUUAUGUAGGACAUUACUUUUCAUUUAUUUCAUGGACAUUUUGGAGGCGUUUGAUCUCCUUGCUGUUCCAAGUCUGGGUAUCGUGAGCUAGCGUGAAGCUGGUGUUAUGGUGUAAAUGGUGACCUGGCCAACUGGCGACUUGCAGCCGAAUGCAUGUCUCGCAAAUUUUUCAAUGAAGACAUAUCUGAUGACCACAUUGUGACAUUAUAAUAUAAAGAUAAGCAGCAGUU
This is a long non-coding RNA of Notolabrus celidotus (New Zealand spotty), 300 nucleotides long. RefSeq lists it as uncharacterized. Lineage: Eukaryota; Metazoa; Chordata; Actinopteri; Labriformes; Labridae. The record is from RefSeq and is a predicted model, not a curated record. The transcript has 2 exons.